CCUAAGGUAGCGAAAUUCCUUGUCGGGUAAGUUCCGACCUGCACGAAUGGCGUAAUGAUGGCCAGGCUGUCUCCACCCGAGACUCAGUGAAAUUGAACUCGCUGUGAAGAUGCAGUGUACCCGCGGCAAGACGGAAAGACCCCGUGAACCUUUACUAUAGCUUGACACUGAACAUUGAGCCUUGAUGUGUAGGAUAGGUGGGAGGCUUUGAAGUGUGGACGCCAGUCUGCAUGGAGCCAUCCUUGAAAUACCACCCUUUAAUGUUUGAUGUUCUAACUCGGCCCCGU
RNAcentral lists this ribosomal RNA (287 nucleotides) under Mesorhizobium sp. RNAcentral describes it as "partial 23S ribosomal RNA". It matches the Rfam family "Bacterial large subunit ribosomal RNA", at positions 1950 to 2236 of the family's 2925-position model. The record is from RNAcentral. Lineage: Bacteria; Pseudomonadati; Pseudomonadota; Alphaproteobacteria; Hyphomicrobiales; Phyllobacteriaceae.